GGGGAUUUAACUCAACAGCACGAGUGCCUGCCUGGGAAGCAUGAGGUCAUGAAUUCAAUCCCCA
This 64-nucleotide transfer RNA is filed under the name Cavia porcellus (domestic guinea pig). It matches the Rfam family "tRNA". Rfam says of the family: Transfer RNA (tRNA) molecules are approximately 80 nucleotides in length. Their secondary structure includes four short double-helical elements and three loops (D, anti-codon, and T loops). Lineage: Eukaryota; Metazoa; Chordata; Mammalia; Rodentia; Caviidae. The record is from Rfam by way of RNAcentral.